GCUCAAACCAAGAAAACAGCAACACAACAAAGUGUGAUGCUCAAAAAUCAAAUUUAAAAAAUCCCCCAAUUAUAUGGAAUCUAGAGAUUGGCUAGACCGUCCAUAAGGACAUGCUGUUUUUUGUUCUUGUUUUCGUUUGCGGUUUAUUUUUUAAAUUUCUAAUCCAUUGUGGACCGCUAUGUUUUUGUAAAAUACAAUAUAAAUGAGUUACUAAAUAAAAUUUUAAUUAAUUAAUUACUUUUUUGGUUGGCGCCCUCCAGGUGUGGGAUCAGAAUUCCCCAACCAGGGAUGGAACGCACACCCCCGGCAUUAGAAGGUGCAGUCCUAACCACGGAGCCGCCAGGGAAGUCCCACUAAACACUUGUUAAAAGACAUAAAGCUCCAAUCCAAAUAUCUUAACACCAGACCUUUGUAGGCUACCUCCUUUAUGUUCAGCAUGUAUGAAAUGAUUUCGUUUUUUAUAUGCAGCUGCUAUAAAAGUCUGUCUUUCUUUUCGAAGUCUGUAUUUAUCUCUCUGCUUAGCCCUGAGACGUAGGUGGGAUAAACGCUCCAGAGUUUCACGCGCCGGACGCCUGGAUGGCUGCCUCCCCCGAACCCUUGCCCCGCAUCAUCCGGCCAAGCAUCCCCUCUGGAGCAUGCGCCGUCCAUUCCUGCGAUCUGGCCUGCGGAGGUCCCUCCUCUCCGGCCUUUCAAGCAGAGACCUUCAUCUGACCCUGCCCGGCUACUGGGCAAGGCUCCGUUGCCCUGUGACACUGAAGGGCGAGGGAGCCACAGAGGGCUCAAGAGUCCCUGAGCAUCAGGGUUUACCGGAUGCGUGGUGUGAACUAGGCUCCAAAUGAAGAGCCUGGGAGGAGGGCCUCCGUCGCCUCGGUUACCCAGGUGGUUCCCAUCCCAAGCCUCUCCUUCAGCCCCCACAGAAAUGCGGAGUGGGGCUUCUCCUGGGAACGGUGGUCAGGGCUGCAAUGCCCGGACCUGGCUCUGCCACGCUCCAUGCUUCUGCUGAUGCACAGCGCCUGCCAGCGCAUCCUCUCCCUGCGCAUUCAUCAGGACCCACACCCAGGAACACACCCAGCUGCACCUUGUUUGAAAAAGAAAAAAGAGCUGCUGUAUGAAUCCCGCUUAGAAAACAGCUGAACCAGGCAAAUCUCUGCAGCACCUUUGAACUUUGGCUUAAGAAGUGAAGGAGACUUGAACUCUGCCAUAUCUAUGACCAGAGGGUUCCAUAGGGUUGUAGUCAAAGUGUCAGCUCAACUGAGAAAAGAUCGACUUCCACGUUUAUGCCGUUGUUGGCAGCAUCCAGUUCCUCGCAAGCUGCCAGCCUGAGCCUUAGUUUCUUGUUGGCUGUGACUAGAAGUUACCUUCAGCUCUCUGCUGUGUGCAUGGUACUCUCCAUAUCAAAGCUUAUCGCAUGGCAGAUUGUUUAUUCAAAACCGACAAGGAAGAGAAAGUUUCCUACCAAGAUGAGUUAAAUGCCUUGUAAAAUGAGAUCACAUUCAGGAAAUGAAAUAUUUAAUACAUUCCUUCACCUUUGCCAUGCUCUUAGUUGGAAGCUAUUCACAGUCCUAUGCACCAAGGGAGAGGCUCACACAAGGGUGCAGAACAGGAGGCAAGGAUCAUGGGACCACUCUAGACACUGUCCACCAACUGAGUGGUGCUCCAGCCUUCUCUUCUCUUUCCCUGGCAACCUGACCCUACAAGAUGGCUCAUAAAAUGGAAGAAACAAAGGUGGAUGCAUAUUAGAUCUUCAGUUACCACUUGGAAUAAAGUUGUCCUGAAGGGUGACCUCAUCCACAGUGGAUUUUGACUAAGCAAGAAAUUUGAGAACUUUUAUAGUCUGACUUUAGAAAGAGAAGAAAACCUUAACCUGAUCCAUGAAGGAAAAAGGAAAGAAGAAUGACAUGGGCUAUUAAGUUUUUAAAAAAGAAUAAAAAAAUCAAAUGUGUGAAGAUAGACAUGCACUGUAUUAAAAACAGUCAAUGUUCCAUGGAGAUUUCUGAUGGAGGGAAAAAUGAGAC
Molecule: long non-coding RNA, 2015 nt
Organism: Bos taurus (domestic cattle)
Lineage: Eukaryota; Metazoa; Chordata; Mammalia; Artiodactyla; Bovidae
Source: Ensembl